Long non-coding RNA from Hippocampus comes (tiger tail seahorse), 712 nucleotides. RefSeq lists it as uncharacterized. The record is from RefSeq and is a predicted model, not a curated record. The transcript is spliced from 2 exons. NCBI's taxonomy places the organism in Eukaryota, Metazoa, Chordata, Actinopteri, Syngnathiformes, Syngnathidae.
GUUCCGAGGACCUCCCCUGCUAUGUGACCAAUGAGCUGAGCUGACAUCACAUUUAUCCACGGAUAUGACGAUUCAGAAUCCGCUCAUCCUAUUGGUCGAGGUACUGUUGCUUGCCAAAAUAGAUAGCGGAAGUCAACAAAGCAGCAUGGAUGACAGUGACACACCUUCGAGCAGCAGCAGUGCGACCGGAUGAACGUCUCUAUGAAUCAGUUGUGUGAGGAAUGUGCGUCUGUCAACAGCCUUCUGGAACGCCUCAUACCUCAGGAGAAGGAAAAUUGGCACACGAACUAUAGAGACAUUUCAACAUUCAGGACGAUAGCCGACCAACGGGACCUCCGUGAAUUGUUGUGUACGUAAUUGGGUUCGUGAAAAUGUCUUCACGUAGGCUUGUCACAAUAUCAACGUGUCGUUCGAUGAGAAAAGAUGGACAACAUAGGUGUGACAUUAACAGGAAAAAAAAACCAAAUGAUGUCGGCUCACUUUUCAAAUUCUCAACAAAAUAGUUUUGUUUCAAUGACUCAUUCCAGCCAAUUUGCAACUCAAUUAUUUUAUUUCAGCUUUACAAUGUGAACCACAUAUAUCAUACCAACAAUUAAAUGUUAAGUAUAUAGAUUAGCCAUUUAUUACCUUUUUGACAAUUACGUAUGAAGAAAGAGCUGACAAUAGUGUUGGCUUCAGACGUGGCUCAAGUCUGCCCGUGUAUAAAGUGACA